UACGUAGGUGGCAAGCGUUGUCCGGAUUUAUUGGGUUUAAAGGGUGCGUAGGCGGCCUUAUAAGUCAGUGCUGAAAUAUCCCGGCUUAACCGGGAGGGUGGCAUUGAUACUGUAGGGCUUGAGUGUAGUCGAGGUAGGCGGAAUUGACGGUGUAGCGGUGAAAUGCUUAGAUAUCGUCAAGAACACCGAUAGUGUAGACAGCUUACUAGGCUACAACUGACGCCGAGGCACGAAAGUGUGGGGAUCAAACAGG
This 253-nucleotide ribosomal RNA is filed under the name uncultured bacterium. RNAcentral's name for it is "partial 16S ribosomal RNA". It matches the Rfam family "Bacterial small subunit ribosomal RNA", at positions 524 to 776 of the family's 1533-position model. The record is from RNAcentral.